UUCCGGUUGAUCCUGCCGGACCUGACUGCUAUCGGAUUGAUACUAAGCCAUGCUAGUCUUUGUAGUAAUACAAGGCAUACGGCUCAGUAACGCGUAGUCAACCUACCCUAUGGACGGGGAUAAUCUCGGGAAACUGAGCAUAAUACCCGGCAGACCACUUAUCCUGGAAUGGUUAGUGGUUAAAAUGAUUCGUCGCCAUAGGAUGGGACUGCGGCCUAUCAGCUUGUUGGUGAGGUAAUGGCCCACCAAGGCGAUUACAGGUACGGGCUCUGAGAGGAGAGGCCCGGAGAUGGGUACUGAGACAAGGACCCAGGCCCUAUGGGGCGCAGCAGGCGAGAAAACUUUGCAAUGUGCGAAAGCACGACAAGGUUAAUCCGAGUGAUUUCUGCUAAAGGAAUCUUUUGUUAGUUCUAAAAAUACUAGUGAAUAAGGGGUGGGCAAGUUCUGGUGUCAGCCGCCGCGGUAAAACCAGCACCUCAAGUGGUCAGGAGGAUUAUUGGGCCUAAAGCAUCCGUAGCCUGUUCUAUAAGUUUGCGGUUAAAUCCAUAUGCUCAACAUAUGGGCUGCCGUAAAUACUGUAGAACUAGGGAGUGGGAGAGGUAGACGGUACUCGAUAGGAAGGGGU
Molecule: ribosomal RNA, 625 nt
Filed under: uncultured crenarchaeote
Lineage: Archaea; Thermoproteati; Thermoproteota
Description: bacterial SSU rRNA
Rfam family: Archaeal small subunit ribosomal RNA
Source: RNAcentral